CAUGUCUCAGUACAAGCCGAAUUAAGGUGAAACCGCGAAAGGCUCAUUAAAUCAGUUAUGGUUCCUUAGAUCGUACCCACAUUUACUUGGAUAACUGUGGUAAUUCUAGAGCUAAUACAUGCAAACAGAGCUCCAACCGGAAACGGAAGGAGCGCUUUUAUUAGAUCAAAACCAAUCGGUGGCGGUCUCCGUCAUCGUACAACUUGGUGACUCUGAAUAACUUUACGCUGAUCGCACGGUCUCGCACCGGCGACGCAUCUUUCAAAUGUCUGCCUUAUCAACUGUCGAUGGUAGGUUCUGCGCCUACCAUGGUUGUAACGGGUAACGGGGAAUCAGGGUUCGAUUCCGGAGAGGGAGCCUGAGAAACGGCUACCACAUCCAAGGAAGGCAGCAGGCGCGCAAAUUACCCACUCCCGGCACGGGGAGGUAGUGACGAAAAAUAACGAUACGGGACUCAUCCGAGGCCCCGUAAUCGGAAUGAGUACACUCUAAACCCUUUAACGAGGAUCAAUUGGAGGGCAAGUCUGGUGCCAGCAGCCGCGGUAAUUCCAGCUCCAAUAGCGUAUAUUAAAGUUGUUGCGGUUAAAAAGCUCGUAGUCGAAUCUGUGUCCCGCGCCGCCGGUUCAUCGUUCGCGGUGUUAACUGGCGUGCCGCGGGACGUCCUGCCGGUGGGCUUAGCUCGAGAGGGCGGCCCAACUCAAUCCCGCCGCGGUGCUCUUCAUUGAGUGUCGAGGUGGGCCGGCACGUUUACUUUGAACAAAUUAGAGUGCUUAAAGCAGGCUAAAACUUCGCCUGAAUACUGUGUGCAUGGAAUAAUGGAAUAGGACCUCGGUUCUAUUUUGUUGGUUUUCGGAACCCCGAGGUAAUGAUUAAUAGGAACGGAUGGGGGCAUUCGUAUUGCGACGUU
This 907-nucleotide ribosomal RNA is filed under the name Scotoderus sp. COL1618. Its description in RNAcentral is "SSU rRNA". It matches the Rfam family "Eukaryotic small subunit ribosomal RNA", at positions 54 to 906 of the family's 1831-position model. The record is from RNAcentral. Lineage: Eukaryota; Metazoa; Arthropoda; Insecta; Coleoptera; Tenebrionidae.